Molecule: ribosomal RNA, 457 nt
Filed under: uncultured bacterium
Lineage: Bacteria
Description: partial 16S ribosomal RNA
Rfam family: Bacterial small subunit ribosomal RNA
Source: RNAcentral
CCUACGGGUGGCAGCAGUGGGGAAUAUUGCACAAUGGGGGAAACCCUGAUGCAGCGACGCCGCGUGAGUGAAGAAGUAUCUCGGUAUGUAAAGCUCUAUCAGCAGGGAAGAAAUAAAGUCCUUCGGACUUUGGACGGUACCUGACUAAGAAGCCCCGGCUAACUACGUGCCAGCAGCCGCGGUAAGACGUAGGGGGCAAGCGUUAUCCGGAUUUACUGGGUGUAAAGGGAGCGUAGCCGGGUUGACAAGUCAGAUGUGAAAUCCUGCGGCUUAACCGCAGAACUGCAUUUGAAACUGUUGAUCUUGAGUACUGGAGAGGCAGAUGGAAUUCCUAGUGUAGCGGUGAAAUGCGUAGAUAUUAGGAGGAACACCAGUGGCGAAGGCGGUCUGCUGGACAGCAACUGACGGUGAGGCGCGAAAGCGUGGGGAGCAAACAGGAUUAGAUACCCGUGUAGUC